GCAGGUGGCAAGCGUUGUCCGGAAUUAUUGGGCGUAAAGCGCGCGCAGGCGGUUCUUUAAGUCUGAUGUGAAAGCCCACGGGCUCAACCGUGGAGGGUCAUUGGAAACUGGAGAACUUGAGUACAGAAGAGGAAAGCGGAAUUCCACGUGUAGCGGUGAAAUGCGUAGAGAUGUGGAGGAACACCAGUGGCGAAGGCGGCUUUCUGGUCUGUAACUGACGCUGAGGCGCGAAAGCGUGGGGAGCAAACAGGAUUAGAUACCCUGGUAGUCCACGCCGUAAACGAUGAGUGCUAAGUGUUAGGGGGUUUCCGCCCCUUAGUGCUGCAGCUAACGCAUUAAGCACUCCGCCUGGGGAGUACGGCCGCAAAGGCUG
This 373-nucleotide ribosomal RNA is filed under the name uncultured organism. RNAcentral describes it as "partial 16S ribosomal RNA". It matches the Rfam family "Bacterial small subunit ribosomal RNA", at positions 527 to 896 of the family's 1533-position model. The record is from RNAcentral.